AAUUCGCCCUUGCAAGUCUGGUGCCAGCAGCCGCGGUAAUUCCAGCUCCAAUAGCGUAUAUUAAAGUUGUUGCAGUUAAAAAGCUCGUAGUUGAAACUUGGGCCUGGCUGGCAGGUCCGCCUCACCGCGUGUACUUGUCCGGCCGGGCCUUUCCUUCUGGAGAACCUCAUGCCCUUCACUGGGUGUGUUGGGGAACCAGGACUUUUACUUUGAAAAAAUUAGAGUGUUCAAAGCAGGCCUUUGCUCGAAUACGUUAGCAUGGAAUAAUAGAAUAGGACGUGCGGUCCUAUUUUGUUGGUUUCUAGGACCGCCGUAAUGAUUAAUAGGGACAGUCGGGGGCAUCAGUAUUCAAUUGUCAGAGGUGAAAUUCUUGGAUUUAUUGAAGACUAACUACUGCGAAAGCAUUUGCCAAGGAUGUUUUCAUUAAUCAGUGAACGAAAGUUAGGGGAUCGAAGACGAUCAGAUACCGUCGUAGUCUUAACCGUAAACUAUGCCGACUAGGGAUCGGGCGAUGUUCUUUUUCUGACUCGCUCGGCACCUUACGAGAAAUCAAAGUUUUUGGGUUCUGGGGGGAGUAUGGUCGCAAGGCUGAAACUUUAAAGAAAUUGACGGAAGGGCACCACCAGGCGUGGAGCCUGCGGCUUAAUUUGACUCAACACGGGGAAACUCACCAGGUCCAGAUGAAAUAAGGAUUGACAGAUUGAGAGCUCUUUCUUGAUUUUUCAGGUGGUGGUGCAUGGCCGUUCUUAGUUGGUGGAGUGAUUUGUCUGCUUAAUUGCGAUAACGAACGAGACCUUAACCUGCUAAAUAGCCAGGCUAGCUUUGGCUGGUCGCCGGCUUCUUAGAGGGACUAUCGGCUCAAGCCGAUGGAAGUUUGAGGCAAUAACAGGUCUGUGAUGCCCUUAGAUGUUCUGGGCCGCACGCGCGCUACACUGACAGAGCCAACGAGUUCUUCACCUUGGCCGGAAGGUCUGGGUAAUCUUGUUAAACUCUGUCGUGCUGGGGAUAGAGCAUUGCAAUUAUGCUCUUCAACGAGGAAUGCCUAGUAAGCGCAUGUCAUCAGCAUGCGUUGAUUACGUCCCUGCCCUUUGUACACACCGCCCGUCGCUACUACCGAUUGAGUGGCUCAGUGAGGCCUUCGGACUGGCUUGGAGAGGUUGGCAACGACCACUCUGAGCCGGAAAGUUCGUCAAACUCGGUCAUUUAGAGGAAGUAAAAGUCGUAACAAGGUUUCCGUAGGGAACCUGCGAAAGGCGAAUCGUAACGC
This 1267-nucleotide ribosomal RNA is filed under the name uncultured eukaryote. RNAcentral describes it as "SSU rRNA". It matches the Rfam family "Eukaryotic small subunit ribosomal RNA", at positions 539 to 1831 of the family's 1831-position model. The record is from RNAcentral.